This 468-nucleotide ribosomal RNA is filed under the name uncultured bacterium. Its description in RNAcentral is "partial 16S ribosomal RNA". It matches the Rfam family "Bacterial small subunit ribosomal RNA", at positions 28 to 507 of the family's 1533-position model. The record is from RNAcentral.
GACGAACGCUGGCGGCGUGCUUAACACAUGCAAGUCGAACGGAAAGGCCCUGCUUUUGUGGGGUGCUCGAGUGGCGAACGGGUGAGUAACACGUGAGUAACCUGCCCUUGACCUUGGGAUAACUUCAGGAAACUGGGGCUAAUACCGGAUAGGAGCUCCUGCUGCAUGGUGGGGGUUGGAAAGUUUCGGCGGUUGGGGAUGGACUCGCGGCUUAUCAGCUUGUUGGUGGGGUAGUGGCUUACCAAGGCUUUGACGGGUAGCCGGCCUGAGAGGGUGACCGGCCACAUUGGGACUGAGAUACGGCCCAGACUCCUACGGGAGGCAGCAGUGGGGAAUAUUGCACAAUGGGCGGAAGCCUGAUGAAGCAAAGCCGCGUGCGGGAUGACGGCCUUCGGGUUGUAAACCGCUUUCGCCUGUGACGAAGCGUGAGUGACGGUAAUGGGUAAAGAAGCACCGGCUAACUACGUG